CCUACGGGUGGCUGCAGUGGGGAAUAUUGCACAAUGGGCGAAAGCCUGAUGCAGCAACGCCGCGUGAAGGAAGACGGUUUUCGGAUUGUAAACUUCUAUCAAUAGGGAAGAAAGAAAUGACGGUACCUAAAUAAGAAGCCCCGGCUAACUACGUGCCAGCAGCCGCGGUAAUACGUAGGGGGCAAGCGUUAUCCGGAAUUACUGGGUGUAAAGGGGGCGCAGACGGCGAUGCAAGCCAGGAGUGAAAGCCCGGGGCCCAACCCCGGGACUGCUCUUGGAACUGCGUGGCUGGAGUGCAGGAGGGGCAGGCGGAAUUCCUGGUGUAGCGGUGAAAUGCGUAGAUAUCAGGAGGAACACCGGUAGCGAAGGCGGCCUGCUGGACUGCAACUGACGUUGAGGCCCGAAAGCGUGGGGAGCAAACAGGAUUAGAUACCCCGGUAGUC
This 443-nucleotide ribosomal RNA is filed under the name uncultured bacterium. RNAcentral describes it as "partial 16S ribosomal RNA". It matches the Rfam family "Bacterial small subunit ribosomal RNA", at positions 338 to 795 of the family's 1533-position model. The record is from RNAcentral.